UACGAGGGGGGCGAGCGUUGUUCGGAAUUAUUGGGCGUAAAGGGUGCGUAGUCGGUUUGGUAAGUCUGAUGUGAAAUCUAUGGGCUCAACUCAUAGUCUGCAUCGGAAACUGCCGGGCUUGAGUAUGGGAGAGGUGAGUGGAAUUCCUGGUGUAGCGGUGAAAUGCGUAGAUAUCAGGAGGAACACCUGUGGCGAAAGCGGCUCACUGGACCAUAACUGACGCUGAUGCACGAAAGCUAGGGGAGCGAACGGG
This 253-nucleotide ribosomal RNA is filed under the name uncultured bacterium. RNAcentral describes it as "partial 16S ribosomal RNA". It matches the Rfam family "Bacterial small subunit ribosomal RNA", at positions 524 to 776 of the family's 1533-position model. The record is from RNAcentral.